This 2659-nucleotide unclassified non-coding RNA is filed under the name Hevea brasiliensis (rubber tree). Lineage: Eukaryota; Viridiplantae; Streptophyta; Magnoliopsida; Malpighiales; Euphorbiaceae. The record is from RNAcentral.
AAUACUAUAUCUUUACAUUCUAUAGACAAUGAAAGAAAGAGAGAGUGAGAGAGAGAGAGGGCUGAGUUGGAGUGGUUGAGAUUCUCAUCCGAUUCGAAGAAAGCAAAAGGAAAUUUUGCUAAAGAAAAUAAUGUUUUGAUCCACUUUUUCGAAAUAUGUUCAUUUUUUUUUUAUUUGUCCAGUUUUUAGUUUAUAUUUGUAAAGAAAUUCUCUCUCACUCAGGAAACACCAAAUCGAAAGAGAAGCAAAAACAUCUCUCCUUUUUUGUUUCUUUCAAGUGAAGAGUUAAUAUCACCCACCACUAAAGACUCCUGCCCCUGUACUCUGUACUCAUGGAUCUAGCUUAGCUCUGCCUUUCUCCAUUAAUUGUCUAAACAGGAACAGAUUUUCUUUACAGGAAAAUGGCAGCUGAGAGGCCCAGCUCCAGGGGCCAAGCAUGGUUUUGCACUACUGGGUUGCCAAGUGACGUUGUAAUGGAGGUGGAAGAUAUGACCUUUCAUCUCCAUAAGGUCAGCCUAAUUAUACCCACAAAACCCUAUCUACACUGCUAUAGUCCACACCUAUCUAAGACCUAAUACCAGUCUCUGUGUUUAUCUUUUUUUUGUUUGGUGAUGGUGUGAUUCAGUUUCCUUUGAUGUCAAAAAGUCGAAAGCUUUACCAGCUAAUAACCGAGCAAGAGACAAACCAAACAUACGCGGUGGAAAGAGGAGGAGGAGAAGGGGAAGAGCAUGAACCUGAUAGAGAUGAAAUCGAGGAAGUUCACUGUCAGAUUUCGCUCCAGGAUUUCCCGGGCGGCUCUGAGACUUUCGAGAUGGCCGCCAGGUUCUGCUACGGCGUCAAGGUCGAUAUCACUUCUUCCACCGUUGCCCCUCUUCGUUGCGCCGGAGAGUUUCUCGAGAUGACGGAAGAGUAUUCGGAAGACAAUUUAAUUUCCAAGACAGAGCGGUUUCUCUCUCAAUCUGUGCUCAAGAAUCUCAAGGAGUCAACAAAAGCAUUAAAAUCGUGCGAGAAAGUAAUGCCUCUUGCAGAGAGCUUAGGCAUUACGCAGCGAUGCAUCGAUUUCAUUGCUUCCAGAGCCUCCUCCGCUGAUCCCACUCUUUUUGGCUGGCCGGUUAGUGAUGGAGCUAAUGACAAUAGAGCCACAUCCAAUCAGGCCUUAUGGAAUGGGAUUGAAUCAGCGGUGCGUAGAAAGGGAGCCGUCUCUGCCUCCACCGUAGCUGCCUCUGUCGGUAGAGGUGCGGACUCAUGGUUUGAGCAUUUGGCCCUUUUGAGCUUGCCUUUGUUUCAGCAAUUGAUUCUUGCCAUGAAAGCUCAAGAUGUGAGUGCAGAUAUUAUAGAAAGCUGCCUAAUGUACUAUGCGAAGAAGUACAUUCCAGGCAUAUCGAGAAUGAAUCGCAAGCCAUCUUCGUCUUCCUCUAUAGCCUCAGAGAGCGAGCAGAGAGAGGUAUUAGAGACUAUAAUUUCAAAUCUUCCACUGGAGAAAAGCUCCAAAUCUUCCACCGCAACAAGGUUUCUAUUCGGCUUAUUAAGAACCGCAAACAUAUUAAACGCAUCCGAAUCGUGUCGCUCCGCUUUGGAAAAGAAGAUCGGUUCACAACUGGAGCAAGCUACACUUGAUGAUCUACUGAUUCCUAGCUAUUCAUAUCUUAACGAGACUUUAUACGAUGUAGAUUGCUUGGAGAGAAUCUUAAGCUACUUCUUGGAUGGACUGGAAGAAAGAAAUGCAGAUGGAAUUGAAGCAGAGGAGAAUGGUGAUCACAAUGUGAGAUCGCCGGGUUUGAUGCUGGUCGGAAAAUUAAUCGAUGGCUAUCUGGCUGAAAUUGCCUCCGAUGCGAAUCUGAAACCUGAUAGAUUCUACAAUCUGGCAAUCUCUUUACCAGAGCAAGCUAGGCUUUUCGACGACGGUCUUUACAGAGCCGUCGACGUCUAUCUCAAGGCGCAUCCAUGGAUAUCGAAGGCGGAGCAGGAGAAGAUUUGUGGAGUGAUGGACUGCCAAAAGCUAACAUUAGAGGCGUGCACGCACGCGGCACAAAACGAGAGGCUUCCGCUGCGUGCAGUAGUUCAAGUUUUGUUUUUCGAGCAAUUACAACUCCGACAUGCAAUCGCCGGGACAUUGAUUGCGGCAGAUGCGGCGCCGCAUGAUUCCAUGAGACCGUCGUUGUUGAGACGGGAACGGGAAGGGGUAGAGGAGAGAGCAGUAUCGGCUGCUCCUGCGGCGGGAGCGGGGGAGGCACAGGACAGCAGCAGUAACUGGAGGGCAGCAGUGAGGGAGAAUCAGGUGCUGCGACUGGACAUGGAUAGCAUGAGGACGCGAGUUCAUCAGCUGGAAAGAGAAUGUUCGACAAUGAAAAAAGUGAUCGAGAAAGUUGAUAAAGAGGGCCCACGUGGGUGGAGAGGUUCCCUGACGAGGAGGUUUGGGUGCAAGUUCAAGACUCAAGUGUGUGAUUCACAUGAACAGACGGUGGUAAACGCAAGGAAGGGACGGCACCAUCAUCACCAACAAUAGGCCUUCUUGUACGUGAACAUCGAACACGACAUGUCGUUAAUUGUUUUAUUGUCUGGUGUGAGUUGACCGAUUUACACUGUGUAGACAAGUGUCUAUGCCUAAUAAGUUGUAGAUGUAAUUUACUGCCACGUUCUCAUGGUCUUAAAAAGGUCU